CAGCCGCCGCGGGAAUACGAAGGGGGCUAGCGUUGCUCGGAAUGACUGGGCGUAAAGGGCGCGUAGGCGGCGAUCAAAGUCAGGCGUGAAAUUCCUGGGCUCAACCUGGGGGCUGCGCUUGAUACUUGGUUGCUUGAGUGGGGAAGAGGGUCGUGGAAUUCCCAGUGUGGAGGUGAAAUUCGUAGAUAUUGGGAAGAACACCGGUGGCGAAGGCGGCGACCUGGUCCUUGACUGACGCUGAGGCGCGAAAGCGUGGGGAGCAAACAGGAUUAGAUACCCCCGUAGUCCCUGUCUCUUAUAC
RNAcentral lists this ribosomal RNA (301 nucleotides) under uncultured bacterium. Its description in RNAcentral is "partial 16S ribosomal RNA". It matches the Rfam family "Bacterial small subunit ribosomal RNA", at positions 509 to 807 of the family's 1533-position model. The record is from RNAcentral.